UCAGCCAAUUCAUAAAACCCUGAGAUGCC
This 29-nucleotide non-coding RNA is filed under the name Homo sapiens (human). The record is from RNAcentral. Lineage: Eukaryota; Metazoa; Chordata; Mammalia; Primates; Hominidae.